Molecule: ribosomal RNA, 699 nt
Filed under: Metachromadora gerlachi
Lineage: Eukaryota; Metazoa; Nematoda; Chromadorea; Desmodorida; Desmodoridae
Description: bacterial SSU rRNA
Rfam family: Eukaryotic small subunit ribosomal RNA
Source: RNAcentral
AUGCAAUCAAGCCCUGACCUUGUGGAGGGGCGCAUUUAUUAGACCAAGACCAAUCGGGUUCGCCCGUAAUCUGGUGACUCUGAAUAACUUUGCUGAUCGCAUGGUCUUAGUACCGGCGACAUAUCUUUCAAGUGUCUGCCCUAUCAACUUUCGAUGGUAGUUUAUAUGCCUACCAUGGUUGUAACGGGUAACGGAGAAUAAGGGUUCGACUCCGGAGAGGGAGCCUGAGAAAUGGCUACCACAUCCAAGGAAGGCAGCAGGCGCGCAAAUUACCCACUCUCAGCUCGAGGAGGUAGUGACGAAAAAUAACGAGACGGUUCUCUAUGAGGCCCGUCAUCGGAAUGGGUACAAUUUAAACCCUUUAACGAGGAUCUAUUGGAGGGCAAGUCUGGUGCCAGCAGCCGCGGUAAUUCCAGCUCCAAUAGCAUAUACCAAUUCUGUUGCUGUUAAAAAGCUCGUAGUUGGAUCUUUUCCGAGGGGGGAGUCGGCCCGAUGGGCAUGUACUCUUUCCCGAGGAUACUUCUGCCGGUUUUCCCGCGGUGCUCUUCAGUGGGUGUCGCGGGUGGCUGGCGCGUUUACUUUGAAAAAAUUAGAGUGCUCAAAACAGGUUUGAGGCCUGGAUAGUGGUGCAUGGAAUAAUAGAAUAGGACCUUGGUUCUAUUUUGUUGGUUUUAGGAGCGCAAGGUAAUGAUUAAGAGG